Molecule: ribosomal RNA, 156 nt
Filed under: Odontarrhena sibirica
Lineage: Eukaryota; Viridiplantae; Streptophyta; Magnoliopsida; Brassicales; Brassicaceae
Description: 5.8S ribosomal RNA
Rfam family: 5.8S ribosomal RNA
About the family: 5.8S ribosomal RNA (5.8S rRNA) is a component of the large subunit of the eukaryotic ribosome. It is transcribed by RNA polymerase I as part of the 45S precursor that also contains 18S and 28S rRNA.
Source: RNAcentral
AAACCGCUUCUCGGCAACGGAAUAUUCGGCUUUUGGCAUCGAAUAAAGACGUAGCGAAAUGCGAUACUUGGUGUGAAUUGCAGAAUCCCGUAACCCAUCGAGUCUUUGAACGCAAGUUGCGCCCCAAGCUUCUGGCCGAGGGCACGUCUGCCUGGG